UACGGAGGGCGCAAGCGUUUCUCGGAAUUACUGGGCGUAAAGCGCGUGCAGGCGGUCGAGUAAGUCGGUUGUGAAAUCCCCAGGCUCAACCUGGGAGCUGCAUCCGAAACUGCUCGGCUAGAGGCCCGGAGAGGGAGGCGGAACUCCCAGUGUAGGGGUGAAAUCCGUAGAUAUUGGGAAGAACACCGGCGGCGAAAGCGGCCUCCUGGACGGUGACUGACGCUGAGACGCGAAAGCGUGGGGAGCAAACAGG
This 253-nucleotide ribosomal RNA is filed under the name uncultured bacterium. Its description in RNAcentral is "partial 16S ribosomal RNA". It matches the Rfam family "Bacterial small subunit ribosomal RNA", at positions 524 to 776 of the family's 1533-position model. The record is from RNAcentral.